Molecule: ribosomal RNA, 279 nt
Filed under: uncultured bacterium
Lineage: Bacteria
Description: partial 16S ribosomal RNA
Rfam family: Bacterial small subunit ribosomal RNA
Source: RNAcentral
UGCCAGCCGCCGCGGUAAUACGGAGGGUGCGAGCGUUGUUCGGAAUUAUUGGGCGUAAAGCGCGUGUAGGCGGUUCGUUAAGUCUGAUGUGAAAGCCCGGGGCUCAACCCCGGAAGUGCAUUGGAAACUGGCGAACUUGAGUACGGGAGAGGAAAGUGGAAUUCCGAGUGUAGGGGUGAAAUCCGUAGAUAUUCGGAGGAACACCAGUGGCGAAGGCGACUAACUGGACUGAUACUGACGCUGAGGUGCGAAAGUGUGGGGAGCAAACAGGAUUAGAUA